This 485-nucleotide long non-coding RNA is filed under the name Homo sapiens (human). RNAcentral describes it as "HSALNT0214690". The record is from RNAcentral. Lineage: Eukaryota; Metazoa; Chordata; Mammalia; Primates; Hominidae.
CCAAAGCAAAUCCUAUCUAUGGACUUCAUAGAAUCCCUUAAAAGUUUUUUAAGAGGGCACGGACUCCGGAUCUUUUAUCUUAUGAAUAGAUCCACUUUGGUUGGUAAUUCUUCUGCCUGACAGGCUGCCUUGGGCUACUACACAGCUGAUAUGAGUGGACAGCAAAGAGCUGUGUAAACCUGUCUAAAACAGUGCACUUGGUGGCUACAUACGGCUAAUCGCUGCUAGUGUUUAGAGUCUGUGGCUGACUCAUCUCAGUACGGUGACCUGGACUGCAGCAAGAUCGGGCACAGCUUCCCUUAGGUGGGAGAAAGAAGGAAUACCAUGGAGGUGUGUGUGGAUGUGUACGCACACAGGAGAGAGUCGGGGCUGGUGGGGAGGCAGAGAGAGAGAAAGGAAAGGCCAAAAGGAAAGUUAAAGGGAUUUACUUUAUUGAUGCUAAUGUAGGGGUCAGCUAACAGUAACAAGCUACUACUAUUAUUUCC